ACAUACGACCACAGCCGUCAUAGAAAUCAGGAUCCCGUCUGAUCUCCAUUAGAUAAGCUGAUGAGCGCUAGAUUAGUAGCUGAGUCGGUGACGAUCAGCGAAUCCCUGGUGUUGUAUGUU
Trichoderma reesei QM6a is the source of this 120-nucleotide ribosomal RNA. The record is from Rfam. Lineage: Eukaryota; Fungi; Ascomycota; Sordariomycetes; Hypocreales; Hypocreaceae.